CGGGGUGCAGCAGGCGCGAAAACUUUACAAUGCUGGCAACAGCGAUAAGGGGACCUCGAGUGCCAGGAUACAAUCUUGGCUGUCGUGAUGCCUAAAAAGCAUUGCAUAGCAAGGGCCGGGCAAGACCGGUGCCAGCCGCCGCGGUAACACCGGCGGCUCGAGUGGUAACCGCUAUUAUUGGGUCUAAAGGGUCUGUAGCCGGCCGGAUAAGUCUCUUGGGAAAUCCGACAGCUCAACUGUCGGGCUUUCAGGGGAUACUGUUCGGCUCGAGGCCGGGAGAGGUGAGAGGUACUUCAGGGGUAGGGGUGAAAUCUUGUAAUCCUUGAAGGACCACCAGUGGCGAAGGCGUCUCACCAGAACGGUCCUGACGGCAAGGGACGAAAGCUAGGGGCACGAACCGGAUUAGAUACCCGGGUAGUCCUAGCCGUAAACGAUACUCGCUAGGUGUCGGCCACGGUGCGACCGUGGUCGGUGCCGUAGGGAAGCCGUGAAGCG
RNAcentral lists this ribosomal RNA (495 nucleotides) under uncultured archaeon. Its description in RNAcentral is "bacterial SSU rRNA". It matches the Rfam family "Archaeal small subunit ribosomal RNA", at positions 326 to 821 of the family's 1478-position model. The record is from RNAcentral.